This 28-nucleotide small RNA is filed under the name Arabidopsis thaliana (thale cress). RNAcentral's name for it is "ATSL236070". Lineage: Eukaryota; Viridiplantae; Streptophyta; Magnoliopsida; Brassicales; Brassicaceae. The record is from RNAcentral.
UAUUUCUUCUCUCUUCUGUCAUAUUCUC